RNAcentral lists this ribosomal RNA (386 nucleotides) under Nitzschia sturionis. RNAcentral's name for it is "eukaryotic LSU rRNA". It matches the Rfam family "Eukaryotic large subunit ribosomal RNA", at positions 87 to 439 of the family's 3401-position model. The record is from RNAcentral. Lineage: Eukaryota; Metazoa; Platyhelminthes; Monogenea; Capsalidea; Capsalidae.
CUGCGAGUGAAGAGAGAUUAGCCCAACAUCGAAGUUCACAUGGUUUAUCCGUGUAGAACAAUGUGAUGUUAAGAUAAUUGUGAGCACAUGCUGACCAACUUGAAGUCCAAAUUAGAAUGUGGCAUGUUUGUAUGCACCCAGAGAUGGUGAAAGGCCCGUUCGAGUUGGUAUUCAGAUAUGACAGUGAUGUGUGCGAACGAUUAUCUUGGAGUCGGAUUGCUUGAGAAUGCAGUCCAAAGUUGGUGGUAAACUCCAUUUAAGGCUAAAUACCUGUACGAGUCCGAUAGUUAACAAGUACCGUGAGGGAAAGUUGAAAAGUACUCUGAAGAGAGAGUAAAUAGCACGUGAAACUACAUGGAGGUUAAUCAGAUAGAGUCCAUCUACAG